CAGUCAUCAGAGAGACAGAAUCAGUUCAGCUGAGUUGUGAGACUCCUCCCUCUCUCCCUGUGUCUCACUGUUACUUCUACAUAGAGGGGGGGAAAAAUCUUCCUGACUCAUCGUGUACGCAGACAAUAACAGGAACUGAGCUGCUCAAGAGGUCUGGUCCAACAUUUCCAGCUCUGGUCAAAGUGACGUGCUACUAUGCUGUAGGGAAGUCUCAGACAUCUCCUUUAAGUAACCCUGUCUCAGUCACUGUUCAGGACCCACUUCCUCCCAGGCUGACAGUCAGCUCUACAGUCAUCAGAGAGAGAGACUCAGUUCAGCUGAGCUGUGACUCUCCUCCAUCUGUCUCUGUGUCUCACUGUUACCUCUACACAGAGGGGAGAGAUCCUAAACACUCACCCUGUACGAGGUCACUCACGGGGACUGAGCUGCUCUCGUGGGCAGGUCAAAGUUCAUCUGCUGAGAUCAAACUGAGAUGUUAUUACACAGUAGAAACUCACUUUCCAUCGAUGCACAGUGGUUCAGUCUCUGUUACUAUUCUUGAUCCAAAACCAGACAUAACAGUAAAUUUUGAUGAGGACUUCAACACCAUCUGUUUUAUUCCUGGAUCCGUCAGUUCUGACACCACCUGUAACCUGUAUGUUGGAGAGGAGAGUCAGCCAUCCUUCACAGCAAAGAUCUGGAAAGAAAAAAGCAAAGGUUCCAACAGUGGUUCUGUAGAUUCACUGUAAAUGAGAGUAAACUGGUAAGUCGUCUUCAGUCAGUGAGGCGUAAAGAGGUGAGCUGUGAUUACAGAGUGAGCUCAGGACCAAACUCCUCUCUCCACGCAGUGAUGGGAAAAG
This is a long non-coding RNA of Salvelinus sp. IW2-2015, 839 nucleotides long. RefSeq lists it as uncharacterized. NCBI's taxonomy places the organism in Eukaryota, Metazoa, Chordata, Actinopteri, Salmoniformes, Salmonidae. The record is from RefSeq and is a predicted model, not a curated record.